CACUCCUACGGGAGGCAGCAGUGGGGAAUUUUGGACAAUGGGCGAAAGCCUGAUCCAGCAAUGCCGCGUGAGUGAAGAAGGCCUUCGGGUUGUAAAGCUCUUUUGUCAGGGAAGAAACGGUGAAAGCUAAUAUCUUUUGCUAAUGACGGUACCUGAAGAAUAAGCACCGGCUAACUACGUGCCAGCAGCCGCGGUAAUACGUAGGGUGCAAGCGUUAAUCGGAAUUACUGGGCGUAAAGCGUGCGCAGGCGGUUUUGUAAGUCUGAUGUGAAAUCCCCGGGCUCAACCUGGGAAUUGCAUUGGAGACUGCAAGGCUAGAAUCUGGCAGAGGGGGGUAGAAUUCCACGUGUAGCAGUGAAAUGCGUAGAUAUGUGGAGGAACACCGAUGGCGAAGGCAGCCCCCUGGGUCAAGAUUGACGCUCAUGCACGAAAGCGUGGGGAGCAAACAGGAUUAGAAACCCCAGUAGUCCCAUGA
This 475-nucleotide ribosomal RNA is filed under the name uncultured organism. RNAcentral's name for it is "partial 16S ribosomal RNA". It matches the Rfam family "Bacterial small subunit ribosomal RNA", at positions 334 to 800 of the family's 1533-position model. The record is from RNAcentral.